Molecule: ribosomal RNA, 444 nt
Filed under: uncultured bacterium
Lineage: Bacteria
Description: bacterial SSU rRNA
Rfam family: Bacterial small subunit ribosomal RNA
Source: RNAcentral
GAUGAACGCUGGCGGCGUGCUUAACACAUGCAAGUCGAACGAAGCACUUUAUUUGAUUUCCUUCGGGAUUGAUUAUUUUGUGACUGAGUGGCGGACGGGUGAGUAACGCGUGGGUAACCUGCCUUGUACAGGGGGAUAACAGUUGGAAACGGCUGCUAAUACCGCAUAAGCGCACAGCAUCGCAUGAUGCAGUGUGAAAAACUCCGGUGGUAUAAGAUGGACCCGCGUUGGAUUAGCUAGUUGGUGAGGUAACGGCCCACCAAGGCGACGAUCCAUAGCCGACCUGAGAGGGUGACCGGCCACAUUGGGACUGAGACACGGCCCAAACUCCUACGGGAGGCAGCAGUGGGGAAUAUUGCACAAUGGGCGAAAGCCUGAUGCAGCGACGCCGCGUGAGCGAAGAAGUAUUUCGGUAUGUAAAGCUCUAUCAGCAGGGAAGAUAAU